This 79-nucleotide microRNA precursor is filed under the name Nicotiana sylvestris (wood tobacco). RNAcentral's name for it is "mir-166 microRNA precursor family". It matches the Rfam family "mir-166 microRNA precursor family". Rfam says of the family: This family represents the plant microRNA (miRNA) precursor mir-166. Animal miRNAs are transcribed as ~70nt precursors and subsequently processed by the Dicer enzyme to give a ~22nt product. The record is from Rfam by way of RNAcentral. RNAcentral also lists the same sequence under 1 other name. Lineage: Eukaryota; Viridiplantae; Streptophyta; Magnoliopsida; Solanales; Solanaceae.
GUUAAGGAGAAUGUUGUCUGGUUCGUGACCAAUCUGUAAACAGUAAUUAGCUCUCGGACCAGGCUUCAUUCCCCUCAAC